CAGGGAAUACAAAGAGCAGAGGACCAAGGGGAGAACCUUGAGCCCUUCAUGAUGUAAUGGCGGGCAGAGGGCAGCGAUCCAGCAAAGCAGAGAGGCACCAGCCAGAGAGGCGCUAGAAAAACCAGGAAGGUGCCAUCACGAAAGCCCAGGAGAGGUUUUCAAGGAGGGGAGAGCAGUGAACUGUAAGGUCAAGUAAGCUGAGGACCAAGAAGUGUUCUUGGGUUUAACAACACGGAGGUCCCUGAUGACAGAGACAUUCACACAAAGACUUGAAGAGGGGGUUCGGGUCUGGCUCUGCCAGAAACAGCAUGCCUGUGGGCCCAACCCUUCUUCACUCCGGGCCCGGCAGGAGAGCUUCAGGACCACCCCUGCAGGUGCUCUCAGCUCUUGUACCUUUCAACCUGGUCACAGAGGCUGCUGACCCCUAGACCAAGCCAGUGACGUGAGCUCUUCCCUGGAGUCAUCCAGGUCUAUCCAGGGUGGUACAGGGGCCCUGGUGAAUAAGAGAGGGCUUUCUGGAGAUAUGCUAACUAGAGGUAACUGCCUGUCACUGAUGGGCCUUCAAAGAGAAGGCGGCAGGCACCGGGGCCUCUGGACUCAGAGGGUCUGGCUACGCUGCAUUUCCAGGGGGCCAUCAGUGGACGAAGUCGCUGGAGCAACCUGGAGAAGGUCUGUACCUCCGUGAACCUCAACAAGGCCUGCCGGAAGCAGGAGGAGCUGGGUGAGUGGGGUGCUCAGCGUGGGGUGUGCAGUAGGGAGGUGCUCUGAGCCUGGCCUGAGUGUCCUUGCCCUUCAGAUUCCAGCAUGGAGGCCCUGACGCUAAACCUGACAGAAGUGGUGAAAAGGCAGAACUCCAAAUCCAAGAAGGGCUUUAACCAGAUUAGCACAUCGCAGAUCAAAGUGGACAAGGUGCAGAUCAUCGGCUCCAACAGCUGCCCCUUUGCUGUGUGCCUGGACCAGGAUGAGAGAAAGAUCCUGCAGAGUGUAGUCAGAUGUGAGGUCUCACCGUGCUACAAGCCGGAGAAGAGCGACCUCUCCUCGCCACCCCAGACGCCUCCUGACCUGCCGGCCCAGGCCGCACCUGAUCUCUGCUCCCUUCUCUGCCUGCCCAUCAUGACUUUCAGUGGAGCUCUGCCCUAGUGUGGGCCCAGCGCCAGACUGGACAGAAGCCCUGGGGCAACCUCCUCGGCGACCCCUCCAG
RNAcentral lists this small RNA (1201 nucleotides) under Pan troglodytes (chimpanzee). Its description in RNAcentral is "retained intron". The record is from RNAcentral. Lineage: Eukaryota; Metazoa; Chordata; Mammalia; Primates; Hominidae.